AGAGUUUGAUCCUGGCUCAGGACGAACGCUGGCGGCGUGCUUAACACAUGCAAGUCGAGCGAGACCUUUCCUUCGGGGGAGUGUUCUAGCGGCGAACGGGUGAGUAACACGUGGGCAACCUGCCCUCAGCUCUGGGAUAACUCCAAGAAAUUGGGGCUAAUACCGGAUAUGACUGCUGACCGCAUGGUCUGGUGGUGGAAAGAUUUAUCGGCUGGGGAUGGGCCCGCGGCCUAUCAGCUUGUUGGUGGGGUAGUGGCCUACCAAGGCGACGACGGGUAGCCGGCCUGAGAGGGUGACCGGCCACACUGGGACUGAGACACGGCCCAGACUCCUACGGGAGGCAGCAGUGGGGAAUAUUGCGCAAUGGGCGGAAGCCUGACGCAGCGACGCCGCGUGGGGGAUGACGGCCUUCGGGUUGUAAACCUCUUUCAGCAGGGACGAAGCGAGAGUGACGGUACCUGCAGAAGAAGCACCGGCCAACUACGUGCCAGCAGCCGCGGUAAUACGUAGGGUGCAAGCGCUGUCCGGAAUUAUUGGGCGUAAAGAGCUCGUAGGCGGUUUGUUGCGUCGGCUGUGAAAUCCCGAGGCUCAACCUCGGGUCUGCAGUCGAUACGAGCAAACUAGAGUGUUGCAGGGGAGACUGGAAUUCCUGGUGUAGCGGUGAAAUGCGCAGAUAUCAGGAGGAACACCGGUGGCGAAGGCGGGUCUCUGGGCAACAACUGACGCUGAGGAGCGAAAGCGUGGGGGAGCGAACAGGAUUAGAUACCCUGGUAGUCC
This 777-nucleotide ribosomal RNA is filed under the name uncultured bacterium. RNAcentral's name for it is "bacterial SSU rRNA". It matches the Rfam family "Bacterial small subunit ribosomal RNA", at positions 8 to 796 of the family's 1533-position model. The record is from RNAcentral.